CGGUCCAGACUCCUACGGGAGGCAGCAGUGGGGAAUAUUGCACAAUGGGGGAAACCCUGAUGCAGCCAUGCCGCGUGUGUGAAGAAGGCCUUCGGGUUGUAAAGCACUUUCAGCGAGGAGGAAAGGUCAGUAGCUAAUAUCUGCUGACUGUGACGUUACUCGCAGAAGAAGCACCGGCUAACUCCGUGCCAGCAGCCGCGGUAA
This 204-nucleotide ribosomal RNA is filed under the name Aeromonas hydrophila. RNAcentral's name for it is "partial 16S ribosomal RNA". It matches the Rfam family "Bacterial small subunit ribosomal RNA", at positions 327 to 523 of the family's 1533-position model. The record is from RNAcentral. Lineage: Bacteria; Pseudomonadati; Pseudomonadota; Gammaproteobacteria; Aeromonadales; Aeromonadaceae.